GGAGGCUUUGGGACUGUCUUCUUUGGAAAACGCAGAGAAGACAAUUUCCCAGUGGUGAUUAAGCAUGUUGCUCAGUUUUUAGUCAGCUACCUACCAGUGCUUCUUAAUGGUAAAAUGACCGAGAUUCCCAAGGAGGUGGCAUUGCUAAUAAAAGUGGGGGCAGGACCAGAGGCUACGAGCAGCAAUGUGACGCCCGCUUUAAACGACUGGUAUGACUUGGAAGAUGAACUCAUUAUGGUUUGUCUUCUAAGCCUGAAGGGAAAAAGAAGGAACACACACACGUAAAGGAAGCACUUAAAACAUGCGGUUAUCCUAACUGGGCGUUCAUAAAGUCAGCAAAGACGCACAGAAAAGAAGAUCAGACACCAGCGAGGGAGGAUAAGAAAGACAGACGCAACAACGUUGUCAUCCCCUAUGUAGCCGGUGUAUCAGAGAAACUCAGGAGGGUUUUCUCCAAGCACGACAUCCCAGUGUACUUCAGACCCAGCAACACACUCAGACAGAAACUGGUUCACCCGAAAGACAAAACUCCUAAACACAAACUGAACAACGUGGUGUAUGCUGUACAGUGCAGCGAGGAAUGCC
This is a long non-coding RNA of Pelmatolapia mariae (spotted tilapia), 585 nucleotides long. RefSeq lists it as uncharacterized. NCBI's taxonomy places the organism in Eukaryota, Metazoa, Chordata, Actinopteri, Cichliformes, Cichlidae. The transcript is spliced from 3 exons. The record is from RefSeq and is a predicted model, not a curated record.